RNAcentral lists this small nuclear RNA (167 nucleotides) under Bombyx mandarina (wild silkworm). Its description in RNAcentral is "U1 spliceosomal RNA". Lineage: Eukaryota; Metazoa; Arthropoda; Insecta; Lepidoptera; Bombycidae. The record is from RNAcentral.
AUACUUACCUGGCGUAGAGGGAUACCGAGAUCAUGCAGGCGGUUUCCCCAGGGCGAGGCUGCUCCAUUGCACUGCGGAGUGGUGUUAGCCCCUUGCAAUUAUUUUUAUUUUUAUCAAUAAAAAAAUCAUAAUAAAAAUGUAUACCCGUAUAAUUAUUGUCUUUAUAC